Molecule: ribosomal RNA, 915 nt
Filed under: uncultured archaeon
Lineage: Archaea
Description: bacterial SSU rRNA
Rfam family: Archaeal small subunit ribosomal RNA
Source: RNAcentral
UUCCGGUUGAUCCCGCCGGACCUGACUGCUAUCGGAUUGAUACUAAGCCAUGCGAGUCUUUGCAGUAAUGCAAGGCAUACGGCUCAGUAACGCGUAGUCAACCUACCCUAUGGACGAGAAUAAUCUCGGGAAACUGAGGAUAAUACUCGAUAGAUCAUAAUGCCUGGAAUGGUUUAUGGUUGAAAUGAUUCGUCGCCAUAGGAUGGGACUGCGACCUAUCAGCUUGUUGGUGAGGUAAUGGCCCACCAAGGCGAUUACAGGUACGGGCUCUGAGAGGAGAAGCCCGGAGAUGGGUACUGAGACAAGGACCCAGGCCCUAUGGGGCGCAGCAGGCGAGAAAACUUUGCAAUGUGCGAAAGCACGACAAGGUUAAUCCGAGUGAUUUCUGCUAAAGAAAUCUUUUGCAAGUCGUAAAACCACUAAUGAAUAAGGGGUGGGCAAGUUCUGGUGUCAGCCGCCGCGGUAAAACCAGCACCUCAAGUGGUCAGGAUGAUUAUUGGGCCUAAAGCAUCCGUAGCCGGCUUUGUUAGUUUUCGGUUAAAUCUAUGCGCUCAACGCAUAGGCUGCCGAAAAUACUGCAGAGCUAGGGAGUGGAAGAGGUAGACGGUACUCGAUAGGAAGGGGUAAAAUCCUUUGAUCUAUUGAUGACCACCUGUGGCGAAGGCGGUCUACCAGAACACGUUCGACGGUGAGGGAUGAAAGCUGGGGGAGCAAACCGGAUUAGAUACCCGGGUAGUCCCAGCUGUAAACGAUGCAGACUCGAUGAUGCAUUGGCAUAUAGCUAGUGCAGUAUCGCAGGGAAGUCGUUAAGUCUGCCGCCUGGGAAGUACGUACGCAAGUAUGAAACUUAAAGGAAUUGGCGGGGGAGCACCACAAGGGGUGAAGCCUGCGGUUCAAUUGGAGUCAACGCCGGAG